AACACCGGCAACGCUGGGCCAAUUGUGCACUGCCCCAUGGGUUUCCCAGUCGCGGCCGGCUGCAACAGAGCCUGGACUCGAACCAGGAUCUCUAGUGGUCCAGCUAGCACUGCAAUGCAGUGCCUUAGAUGACUGCGCCACUUGGGAAGCCCGGGCGUGACGUUUUGAUAACCGUGUAAAUCUCUCUGACAAGGUGACUUUUAUCAAUAGUCUCCUGUAUUUACCCCCCAAAAAUGAAAUACUAAAGUAGUUGCUAAUAUGGCUAUCAUACAGAACUACACCUCAUGUUGCAAGCUUUGAUGUCAUCACUCAUGGCAGUGUUGCAUGCAUUUUCCAACCUCUGUAAGCGAGCGGCGUCGCUGGAGCCAUGUGGUAAGGACAAUGACCCAAAACACACCUCCAGGCUGUGUAAGGGCUAUUUGACCAAGGAGAGUGAUGGAGUGCUGCAUCAGAAGACCUGGCCUCCACAAUCACCUGACCUCAACCCAAGUGAGAUGGUUUGGGAUGAGUUGGACCACUGAGUGAAGGAAAAGCAGCCAACAAGUGCUCAGCAUAUGUGGGAACUUCUUCAAGACUGUUGAAAAGCAUUCAUCAUGAAGCUG
Molecule: long non-coding RNA, 602 nt
Filed under: Salmo salar (Atlantic salmon)
Lineage: Eukaryota; Metazoa; Chordata; Actinopteri; Salmoniformes; Salmonidae
Description: lncRNA (ENSSSAG00000093985.1)
Source: RNAcentral